UGGAGCAUGUGGUUUAAUUCGAAGCAACGCGCAGAACCUUACCAGCUCUUGACAUGGACGUGACCGGCCCAGAGAUGGGUUUUCCCCGCAAGGGGCACGUCGCACAGGUGCUGCAUGGCUGUCGUCAGCUCGUGUCGUGAGAUGUUGGGUUAAGUCCCGCAACGAGCGCAACCCUCGCCUCCAGUUGCCAGCGAGUUAUGUCGGGCACUCUGGAGGAACUGCCGGUGACAAGCCGGAGGAAGGUGGGGAUGACGUCAAGUCCUCAUGGCCCUUAUGGGCUGGGCUACACACGUGCUACAAUGGCGGUGACAGUGGGAUGCUAGGCCGCGAGGUCAUGCCGAUCCCAAAAAGCCGUCUCAGUUCAGAUUGCACUCUGCAACUCGGGUGGAUGAAGGCGGAAUCGCUAGUAAUCGCGCAUGAGCAUGGCG
Molecule: ribosomal RNA, 428 nt
Filed under: uncultured bacterium
Lineage: Bacteria
Description: bacterial SSU rRNA
Rfam family: Bacterial small subunit ribosomal RNA
Source: RNAcentral